This 250-nucleotide ribosomal RNA is filed under the name uncultured Ardenticatenia bacterium. Its description in RNAcentral is "partial 16S ribosomal RNA". It matches the Rfam family "Bacterial small subunit ribosomal RNA", at positions 524 to 773 of the family's 1533-position model. Lineage: Bacteria; Bacillati; Chloroflexota; Ardenticatenia. The record is from RNAcentral.
AACGUAGGGGACAAGCGUUAUCCGGAUUUACUGGGCGUAAAGCGCCCGUAGGCGGCUUUUUAAGUUGGACGUGAAAGCUCCCGGCUUAACUGGGAGAGGCCGUUCAAAACUGAGAGGCUAGAGUGAGGCAGAGGAGCGCGGAAUUCCCGGUGUAGUGGUGGAAUGCGUAGAUAUCGGGAGGAACACCAGUGGCGAAAGCGGCGCUCUGGGCCUAAACUGACGCUGAGGGGCGAAAGCGUGGGGAGCGAAC